Molecule: ribosomal RNA, 465 nt
Filed under: Vreelandella stevensii
Lineage: Bacteria; Pseudomonadati; Pseudomonadota; Gammaproteobacteria; Oceanospirillales; Halomonadaceae
Description: partial 16S ribosomal RNA
Rfam family: Bacterial small subunit ribosomal RNA
Source: RNAcentral
CCUACGGGGGGCAGCAGUGGGGAAUAUUGGACAAUGGGGGGAACCCUGAUCCAGCCAUGCCGCGUGUGUGAAGAAGGCCCUCGGGUUGUAAAGCACUUUCAGUGAGGAAGAACGCCUGGUGGUUAAUACCCAUCAGGAAAGACAUCACUCACAGAAGAAGCACCGGCUAACUCCGUGCCAGCAGCCGCGGUAAUACGGAGGGUGCGAGCGUUAAUCGGAAUUACUGGGCGUAAAGCGCGCGUAGGUGGCUUGAUAAGCCGGUUGUGAAAGCCCCGGGUUCAACCUGGGAACGGCAUCCGGAACUGUCAAGCUAGAGUGCAGGAGAGGAAGGUAGAAUUCCCGGUGUAGCGGUGAAAUGCGUAGAGAUCGGGAGGAAUACCAGUGGCGAAGGCGGCCUUCUGGACUGACACUGACACUGAGGUGCGAAAGCGUGGGUAGCAAACAGGAUUAGAUACCCGAGUAGUC